Microtus oregoni (creeping vole) is the source of this 1317-nucleotide long non-coding RNA. RefSeq lists it as uncharacterized. The transcript is spliced from 3 exons. The record is from RefSeq and is a predicted model, not a curated record. NCBI's taxonomy places the organism in Eukaryota, Metazoa, Chordata, Mammalia, Rodentia, Cricetidae.
AUUAUUAAGUUAAAAGGCUCUGACCCAAGGAACGGUUUAAUCCACUGAUAAAUUUAAACUGUGAAUGGAUUUAGGAGCCAGUGAAACUGGAAGGUGGGGCUUGGCUGUUAGAAGGCGGUCACCAAGGACACGUCUUUGGGGGCUCUUGGCCCCUUCCUCUGACCGCUCUGCCCUGAACCCUGUCUGCUGUGAUGUGAGCUAUUCUGCCGGGUCCUCCUGCCAUGGCAGACUGAAACCGCUCUAGCCAACAUGGAACCAGGAACCGAAUCUCUGGGCAAACUGUUGAGUUCCGAGGCUGGCACCCCUUCCAAUCAGAAUCUCCAACAGUGAACACCAAUCCAGCCUACAGUGUGCUGAGGCCUUCCCAGCUCUAGGCCCCGUCUGCAGCUUCUUUUGCAGCAGCCUGACACACGAGGAGCCGAGAAGUCAAAUCCUAGGAGUUCUGUUGUUUUGACCGUGGAAACGAAGGGGUCGGUCAUUGCAUCUACACCUUUAAGAACCACAACAUUCUUCUGUUGGUUUUUGAGAGACCGAGAUGCUUGUGGAUAAGAAGCUGAAGGAGCUGACCUGAAGACAAAAUUACAGUUUAAGUCACAAGCAGACACCCUGCUCUCUAACGCUUGGCGAAACACACUGUGAAUUACCAUUUAACUUCCCUAUUUCGAAAGAGCUCUAGGGAGAUAUUUGAACCGAAAGCUGAAGGGUAGGCAUGAGGAAAAGAUCUCUGGCAGAUGGGAGAUGCUAGCAAGAGCUAGCUGAUGGAGGGACCUGUUGACUCCAUCCAGUAUCCAGAUUGUUCUGUAGACCAUGUGGGGCUGCGGGACUCCCAGGGCCUGCCCUGUCAGCUUUGCCUUAGAAGAGGCUCUCUUCUUAGUCUGAGUGGGAGACGAAAAGGGACUAAAGGCAGAGGGACUAGUUAGGCAACACUCUUAUGUAAAUUGAGCAAGAAGUACCAAACACUGAAAACACUAAACACCACAUAAAGUGCUGUGGGGGAACCCAAAGAGGUUUCAGGAGCCAACACCUGCAAGACUUACUCACUGCUCCCAGGGAUCUUAGAAGGUGGAGGGUGGAGACGGCCUCCUGCAUUCCACAGCUGGCAUGUCCACAGCAGAAUGCAGGAGGAGAAACAGGUUUGGAAAGGAAGUUAGUAGCUGCGUUUGUCGACGCACGGAGUGGGUCACCCGCGUAGGAUGCCCACAUCAGGUGAGCAGGUGGGUCUGGCACCAGGACAAAGGGCUGGCCUAGGAACAACACAAACAUUUCUCAGUGACACUUCUGUCCCCACUUAAUGAAUUUUUUAAAAAUAGACAUUGG